Molecule: ribosomal RNA, 433 nt
Filed under: uncultured bacterium
Lineage: Bacteria
Description: partial 16S ribosomal RNA
Rfam family: Bacterial small subunit ribosomal RNA
Source: RNAcentral
AACGAACGCUGGCGGCAUGCCUAACACAUGCAAGUCGAACGAGACCUUCGGGUCUAGUGGCGCACGGGUGCGUAACGCGUGGGAACCUGCCCUUAGGUUCGGAAUAACUCCCCGAAAGGGGUGAUAAUACCGGAUAAUGUCUUCGGACCAAAGAUUUAUCGCCUUUGGAUGGGCCCGCGUUGGAUUAGCUAGUUGGUAGGGUAAAAGCCUACCAAGGCGACGAUCCAUAGCUGGUCUGAGAGGAUGAUCAGCCACACUGGGACUGAGACACGGCCCAGACUCCUACGGGAGGCAGGAGUGGGGAAUAUUGGACAAUGGGCGAAAGCCUGAUCCAGCAAUGCCGCGUGAGUGAUGAAGGCCUUAGGGUUGUAAAGCUCUUUUACCCGGGAUGAUAAUGACAGUACCGGGAGAAUAAGCUCCGGCUAACUCCGUG